GUAUGCAAGAUAAUUUUGGGUGGUGCAGGGUGAAUAAUUUCAAUUGACAUAAAAAUGUGUUUAUCUUACUGGGUAAAUCAGGGGUCCCCACCUGUUAGGAACCAGGCUGCACAGCAGGAGGUGAGCAGCCAGCCAGGGAGCAAAGCUUCAUCUGUAGAAACAGCUGCUCCCCAUCCCUCACAUUACCGCAUGAGCUCUGCCACCUGUCACAUGAGUGGUGCCGUUACAUUCUCAUAGAACCCAACUGUGAACUCAGCAUGCCAAGAAUCCAGAUUGCGUGCUCCUUAUGAGAACCUAAUGCCUGAUGAUCUGUGACUAUCUCCCAUCACCUCCUGAUGGGACCAUGUAGUUGCAGGAAAACAAGCUCAGGGCUCCCACUGAUUCUAUAUUAUGGUCCGUGGAAGAGUUGUCUUCAAGAAAACUGCUCUCUGGUGCCAAAAAGUUUGGGGACCGCUGGUGAAAACGUUUCUAAGAAUAGUCAAGCAACUUAAGCUUUACAUGCUACGAAGUAUACAGGUUUAAAUGCUAAUAAAAAUAGGUGCAAAUGAAAA
This is a long non-coding RNA of Pongo pygmaeus (Bornean orangutan), 551 nucleotides long. RefSeq lists it as uncharacterized. The transcript has 2 exons. The record is from RefSeq and is a predicted model, not a curated record. NCBI's taxonomy places the organism in Eukaryota, Metazoa, Chordata, Mammalia, Primates, Hominidae.